RNAcentral lists this ribosomal RNA (253 nucleotides) under uncultured bacterium. RNAcentral describes it as "partial 16S ribosomal RNA". It matches the Rfam family "Bacterial small subunit ribosomal RNA", at positions 524 to 776 of the family's 1533-position model. The record is from RNAcentral.
UACGGGGGGGGCAAACGUUGUUCGGAAUUACUGGGCGUAAAGCGCGUGUAGGCUGCUCCGCAAGUCGGAUGUGAAAGCCCUGGGCUCAACCUAGGAAGUGCAUUCGAUACUGCAGAGCUUGAGUCCUGGAGAGGAAGGCGGAAUUCUCGGUGUAGAGGUGAAAUUCGUAGAUAUCGAGAGGAACACCGGUGGCGAAGGCGGCCUUCUGGACAGUGACUGACGCUGAGACGCGAAAGCGUGGGGAGCAAACAGG